This 425-nucleotide ribosomal RNA is filed under the name uncultured bacterium. RNAcentral's name for it is "partial 16S ribosomal RNA". It matches the Rfam family "Bacterial small subunit ribosomal RNA", at positions 354 to 796 of the family's 1533-position model. The record is from RNAcentral.
GUGGGGAAUUUUGGACAAUGGGCGCAAGCCUGAUCCAGCAAUGCCGCGUGUGUGAAGAAGGCCUUCGGGUUGUAAAGCUCUUUUACCCGGGAAGAUAAUGACUGUACCGGGAGAAUAAGCCCCGGCUAACUCCGUGCCAGCAGCCGCGGUAAUACGGAGGGGGCUAGCGUUGUUCGGAAUUACUGGGCGUAAAGCGCACGUAGGCGGUCUUUUAAGUCAGAGGUGAAAGCCCGGGGCUCAACUCCGGAAUUGCCUUUGAAACUGGAAGACUUGAACACGGGAGAGGUGAGUGGAAUUCCGAGUGUAGAGGUGAAAUUCGUAGAUAUUCGGAGGAACACCAGUGGCGAAGGCGGCUCACUGGACCGUUGUUGACGCUGAGGUGCGAAAGCGUGGGGAGCAAACAGGAUUAGAAACCCGUGUAGUCC